UAGAAAGAAAAAAAAGACAACAAGCACCAAGAACUUUUAUUCAUAUAUUUCUUCGCAUAAUACAUAACAUCACCACCUUAUUUAAUAUAUAUUGUUAUGAAGAUGAUAAUACUAGCCUAAUUAUUAUCAUCUUCUGCAGCAGCUGGAAUCUUGGCGGUGGAGGUGGCGGUGGCAGUGGCGACAGAUGGGAAACCGGGGGGAACACCAUCACCACAUGGUGGAUUGUGGCAAGGACAGUUGUUGAAACACAUGGUGGAGGGUGGAGGCAUGUCAGCAGUGGUUGUUGGGGAAAGAAGGAGGCCGGUUGA
This is a non-coding RNA of Vicia faba (fava bean), 308 nucleotides long. Lineage: Eukaryota; Viridiplantae; Streptophyta; Magnoliopsida; Fabales; Fabaceae. The record is from the annotation of a GenBank genome assembly.